RNAcentral lists this ribosomal RNA (484 nucleotides) under uncultured bacterium. RNAcentral describes it as "partial 16S ribosomal RNA". It matches the Rfam family "Bacterial small subunit ribosomal RNA", at positions 29 to 507 of the family's 1533-position model. The record is from RNAcentral.
AUUGAACGCUGGCGGCAGGCCUAACACAUGCAAGUCGAGCGGAUGAAGGGAGCUUGCUCCUGGAUUCAGCGGCGGACGGGUGAGUAAUGCCUAGGAAUCUGCCUGGUAGUGGGGGAUAACGUCCGGAAACGGGCGCUAAUACCGCAUACGUCCUGAGGGUGAAAGUGGGGGAUCUUCGGACCUCACGCUAUCAGAUGAGCCUAGGUCGGAUUAGCUAGUUGGUGGGGUAAAGGCCUACCAAGGCGACGAUCCGUAACUGAACUGAGAGGAUGAUCAGUCAGAAGGGAACUGAGACACGGUCGAGACGACUACGGGAGGAAGCAGUAGGGAAUAGUCAGCAAUGGGCGAAAGCCUGACGGAGCAAAGCCGCGGGAGUGAUGAAGGUCUUCGGAUCGUAAAACUCUGUUAUUAGGGAAGAACAAAUGUGUAAGUAACUAUGCACGUCUUGACGGUACAUAAUCAGAAAGCCAAGGCUAACUACGUG